GAAGUGCCGUCCUGUAACUUAAUAAUGCAGAUAGUUAGAAAUUCAGGCCUCUGUCAUUUCACUGCGGUGGGCUAAAAGAGAAAGGCUAAUGCUAAAUUCUGCGAGUCCUGGCUCACUCAACUGUGCUUUAUUCCAAACCGCCAAUCUAAACAGCCUGGUGAGCUGAAAACCUAAUUGUCGUCUUUCAACUGAUGGAAUGAAAUAAUGACCGAAGCACUGAAUGAAAAGGUAAACAAAAGAGUUUGAGCUUUGGCUUCUCCAUAGGUGCUGUUAAUGCUGUUCUGCUUGACUAGCAAGAGAUGGGCUUUCAGAUUUCACAUGUGGACAUUUAUCUGCCCUCUAACUCCAGAAUUCAGUGGCCUCACUUUCCAGUUCACUCAGCUGCUGACAAUGCCCAUCUUCAGAUAAUGAAGAGCUGUAAAUUCAGGACACAGAAUCAAAAGCCAGGAGAAGCCAUAAACGAUCACUCAUUCAAAUACCUAUCAAG
Long non-coding RNA from Mobula hypostoma (lesser devil ray), 487 nucleotides. RefSeq lists it as uncharacterized. NCBI's taxonomy places the organism in Eukaryota, Metazoa, Chordata, Chondrichthyes, Myliobatiformes, Myliobatidae. The transcript is spliced from 4 exons. The record is from RefSeq and is a predicted model, not a curated record.